RNAcentral lists this ribosomal RNA (259 nucleotides) under Vaucheria litorea. RNAcentral describes it as "partial Eukaryotic large subunit ribosomal RNA". It matches the Rfam family "Eukaryotic large subunit ribosomal RNA", at positions 714 to 959 of the family's 3401-position model. The record is from RNAcentral. Lineage: Eukaryota; Xanthophyceae; Vaucheriales; Vaucheriaceae.
GCGAAAUGAAAGUAAAAUAGGUGGGAAUUGCUGUAUUCGCGAGAAUGGGCAAGGCACCAUCGGCCGAUCAUGAUCUUCGGUGAAAGAUUUGAGUUGAAGCAUAUAUGUCGGGACCCGAAAGAUGGUGAUCUAUGCUUGCGUAGAAUGAAGGCAGGGGAAACCCUGGUGGAAGUUCGCAAACGGUUCUGACGUGCAAAUCGAUCGUGAGACGUGGGUAUAGGGGCGAAAGACUCAUCGAACCAUCUAGUAGCUGGUUCCC